AGGCUUUUUCUAGAGAUACAAUUGGUUAAUUUGUUUUAGAUUCAGGCUCUAACUAAAAAAAAAUUAUAAAUACAAGCAAACAAAACUACCAUCCUGGACCUACCUAAAUACCACUUUUUAGUGUUUCCUCAUUAAAAUUUCUCUACUGCCUGAAGAAGUAGGGAUCUUGCAAUAUGCAAGUGACAGUACUUGUCUUUGAGAACCACUAUCACAUGUGCACUUGGCAGUGGAUUUAAACCCAACCACAACAAGCAUUAUCCAGCCUGAAACUGUGCUAGGCUCUGAAGAAGCAAAUGAGACCUGACCUGCGCUGCUGAUACUCAGCAUUUUCAGUGGCUCAGUGGGUAGAGAAUGUGACAGGGUAGUUAUAGCUUUUGUUUUCAUUAACAUUACAACAAACAGAGAAACUGAUUUGUCUUCAGAGAAUGAACAUUUAAGAGGAAAAUAAAAUCAAACUAUAAAAAACAAGUUAUUGUUGGUCUACCCAUAGAGGCAUGCUAAUACAUGUUGAUAACUAGACUUCAAGCAUCUACCCAGUUCAACAUUGCAGUGUUUUUAUGUUAGUGUCUUUCCUGCUGGAGCACUUUAAACACUGACCUGCAGAUAUUAGCUGAUUAACUGCAUC
Molecule: long non-coding RNA, 625 nt
Organism: Perognathus longimembris pacificus (Pacific pocket mouse)
Lineage: Eukaryota; Metazoa; Chordata; Mammalia; Rodentia; Heteromyidae
Exons: 2
Source: RefSeq, a predicted model, not a curated record